This 500-nucleotide ribosomal RNA is filed under the name uncultured bacterium. RNAcentral's name for it is "partial 16S ribosomal RNA". It matches the Rfam family "Bacterial small subunit ribosomal RNA", at positions 30 to 523 of the family's 1533-position model. The record is from RNAcentral.
AUUGAACGCUGGCGGAAUGCUUUACACAUGCAAGUCGAACGGCAGCACGGGGGCAACCCUGGUGGCGAGUGGCGAACGGGUGAGUAAUACAUCGGAACGUGCCCAGUCGUGGGGGAUAACGUAGCGAAAGUUACGCUAAUACCACAUACGAUCUACGGAUGAAAGCGGGGGACCGUAAGGCCUCGCGCGAUUGGAGCGGCCGAUGUCAGAUUAGGUAGUUGGUGAGGUAAAGGCUCACCAAGCCGACGAUCUGUAGCUGGUCUGAGAGGACGACCAGCCACACUGGGACUGAGACACGGCCCAGACUCCUACGGGAGGCAGCAGUGGGGAAUUUUGGACAAUGGGCGCAAGCCUGAUCCAGCCAUUCCGCGUGCAGGACGAAGGCCUUCGGGUUGUAAACUGCUUUUGUACGGAACGAAAGGGCUCUGGUUAAUACCUGGGGCUCAUGACGGUACCGUAAGAAUAAGCACCGGCUAACUACGUGCCAGCCGCCGCGGUAA